UCCCUGGUAGUCCAGUAGCUAAGAUUUCAUGCUCCCAAUGUGGGGGGCCUGGGUUCAAUCCCUGACCAGGGAA
RNAcentral lists this transfer RNA (73 nucleotides) under Bos taurus (domestic cattle). It matches the Rfam family "tRNA". Rfam says of the family: Transfer RNA (tRNA) molecules are approximately 80 nucleotides in length. Their secondary structure includes four short double-helical elements and three loops (D, anti-codon, and T loops). Lineage: Eukaryota; Metazoa; Chordata; Mammalia; Artiodactyla; Bovidae. The record is from Rfam by way of RNAcentral. RNAcentral also lists the same sequence under 5 other names.